UUUAAUUCGAUGAUACGCGAGGAACCUUACCUGGGCUCAAAUGUAUGUUGACGUAUUCUGAAAGGGAUACUUCUUCGGACAAUAUACAAGGUGCUGCAUGGUUGUCGUCAGCUCGUGCCGUGAGGUGUCGGGUUAAGUCCCAUAACGAGCGCAACCCCUAUCAUUAGUUGCCAUCAGGUCAAGCUGGGGACUCUAAUGAAACUGCCUACGCAAGUAGUGAGGAAGGUGGGGAUGACGUCAAAUCAGCACGGCCCUUACGUCCAGGGCUACACACGUGCUACAAUGGCCGGUACAAAGGGCAGCUACCUGGUGACAGGAUGCUAAUCUCAAAAGCCGGUCUCAGUUCGGAUCGGAGUCUGCAACCCGACUCCGUGAAGCUGGAAUCGCUAGUAAUCGUGGAUCAGCCAAGCCGCGGUGAAUACGUUCCCGGGCCUU
Molecule: ribosomal RNA, 435 nt
Filed under: uncultured Sphingobacteriales bacterium
Lineage: Bacteria; Pseudomonadati; Bacteroidota; Sphingobacteriia; Sphingobacteriales
Description: bacterial SSU rRNA
Rfam family: Bacterial small subunit ribosomal RNA
Source: RNAcentral